CCCGCACAAGCGGAGGAACAUGUGGUUUAAUUCGAUGAUACGCGAGGAACCUUACCUGGGCUUAAAUGUAGAGUGCAUGGGUAGAAAUAUCCCUUUCCUUCGGGACUCUUUUGCAAGGUGCUGCAUGGUUGUCGUCAGCUCGUGCCGUGAGGUGUCGGGUUAAGUCCCAUAACGAGCGCAACCCUUAUCGUUAGUUGCCAGCGGGUCAUGCCGGGAACUCUAACGAAACUGCCGGUGUAAACCGUGAGGAAGGUGGGAUGACGUCAAAUCAGCACGGCCCUUAUGUCCAGGGCUACACACGUGUUACAAUGGCCGGUACAGAGGGCAGCUACCUGGAGACAGGAUGCGAAUCUCCAAAGCCGGUCUCAGUUCGGAUCGGAGUCUGCAACUCGACUCCGUGAAGCUGGAUUCGCUAGUAAUCGCGCAUCAGCCAUGGCGCGGUGAAUACGUUCCCGGGCCUU
Molecule: ribosomal RNA, 461 nt
Filed under: uncultured Sphingobacteriales bacterium
Lineage: Bacteria; Pseudomonadati; Bacteroidota; Sphingobacteriia; Sphingobacteriales
Description: bacterial SSU rRNA
Rfam family: Bacterial small subunit ribosomal RNA
Source: RNAcentral